UACGUAGGGGGCUAGCGUUGUCCGGAAUCAUUGGGCGUAAAGCGCGUGUAGGCGGUCCGGUAAGUCCGCUGUGAAAGUCGGGGGCUCAACCCUCGGAUGCCGGUGGAUACUGUCGGGCUUGAGUACGGAAGAGGCGAGUGGAAUUCCUGGUGUAGCGGUGAAAUGCGCAGAUAUCGAGAGGAACACCUGCGGCGAAGGCGGGUUGCUGGGCUGAUACUGACGCUGAGGCGCGAAAGCCAGGGGAGCGAACGGG
Molecule: ribosomal RNA, 253 nt
Filed under: uncultured bacterium
Lineage: Bacteria
Description: partial 16S ribosomal RNA
Rfam family: Bacterial small subunit ribosomal RNA
Source: RNAcentral